This 329-nucleotide ribosomal RNA is filed under the name uncultured eukaryote. Its description in RNAcentral is "partial 18S ribosomal RNA". It matches the Rfam family "Eukaryotic small subunit ribosomal RNA", at positions 1470 to 1796 of the family's 1831-position model. The record is from RNAcentral.
CCCUUAGAUGUUCUGGGCCGCACGCGCGCCACACUGAUGCAUUCAACGAGUCUAAAACCUGCUCUGAUAGGGGUGGGUAAUCUUUUGAAUGUGCAUCGUGAUUGGGAUAGAUGAUUGCAAUUUUUCAUCUUCAACGAGGAAUGCCUAGUAAACGCAAGUCAUCAGCUUGCAUUGAUUACGUCCCUGCCCUUUGUACACACCGCCCGUCGCUCCUACCGAUUGAAUGAUCCGAUGAAUAUCAUGGAUUGAGGAUGCAAGCAGGUUCGCCUGUCUUCAUCUUCGAGAAGUGAAGUAAAUCUUAUCAUUUAGAGGAAGGUGAAGUCGUAACA